RNAcentral lists this ribosomal RNA (663 nucleotides) under uncultured cyanobacterium. RNAcentral's name for it is "bacterial SSU rRNA". It matches the Rfam family "Bacterial small subunit ribosomal RNA", at positions 99 to 795 of the family's 1533-position model. Lineage: Bacteria; Bacillati; Cyanobacteriota. The record is from RNAcentral.
CGGACGGGUGAGUAACGCGUGAGAAUCUGGCUCUAGGUCUGGGACAACCACUGGAAACGGUGGCUAAUACCGGAUGUGCCGAGAGGUGAAAGGUUAACUGCCUAGAGAUGAGCUCGCGUCUGAUUAGCUAGCUGGAAGUGUAAUGGACUCCCAAGGCGACGAUCAGUAGCUGGUCUGAGAGGACGAUCAGCCACACUGGGACUGAGACACGGCCCAGACUCCUACGGGAGGCAGCAGUGGGGAAUUUUCCGCAAUGGGCGAAAGCCUGACGGAGCAAUACCGCGUGAGGGAGGAAGGCUCUUGGGUCGUAAACCUCUUUUCUCAGGGAAGAACAAAAUGACGGUACCUGAGGAAUAAGCAUCGGCUAACUCCGUGCCAGCAGCCGCGGUAAUACGGAGGAUGCAAGCGUUAUCCGGAAUGAUUGGGCGUAAAGCGUCCGCAGGUGGCUAUGUAAGUCUGCUGUUAAAGAGUCUAGCUCAACUAGAUAAGAGCAGUGGAAACUACAAGGCUAGAGUACGUUCGGGGCAGAGGGAGUUCCUGGUGUAGCGGUGAAAUGCGUAGAGAUCAGGAAGAACACCGGUGGCGAAGGCGCUCUGCUAGGCCGUAACUGACACUGAGGGACGAAGGCUAGGGGAGCGAAUGGGAUUAGAUACCCCAGUAGUC